Molecule: ribosomal RNA, 900 nt
Filed under: uncultured bacterium
Lineage: Bacteria
Description: bacterial SSU rRNA
Rfam family: Bacterial small subunit ribosomal RNA
Source: RNAcentral
AGUCGACGAUGAAUCUUCUAGCUUGCUAGAAGUGGAUUAGUGGCGCACGGGUGAGUAAUGCAUAGGUUAUGUGCCCUUUAGUCUGGGAUAGCCACUGGAAACGGUGAUUAAUACUGGAUACUCCCUACGGGGGAAAGUUUUUCACUAAAGGAUCAGCCUAUGUCCUAUCAGCUUGUUGGUGAGGUAAUGGCUCACCAAGGCUAUGACGGGUAUCCGGCCUGAGAGGGUGAUCGGACACACUGGAACUGAGACACGGUCCAGACUCCUACGGGAGGCAGCAGUAGGGAAUAUUGCUCAAUGGGGGAAACCCUGAAGCAGCAACGCCGCGUGGAGGAUGAAGGUUUUAGGAUUGUAAACUCCUUUUGUUAGAGAAGAUUAUGACGGUAUCUAACGAAUAAGCACCGGCUAACUCCGUGCCAGCAGCCGCGGUAAUACGGAGGGUGCAAGCGUUACUCGGAAUCACUGGGCGUAAAGAGUGCGUAGGCGGGGUAAUAAGUCAGAUGUGAAAUCCUGUAGCUUAACUACAGAACUGCAUUUGAAACUGUUACUCUGGAGUGUGGGAGAGGUAGGUGGAAUUCUUGGUGUAGGGGUAAAAUCCGUAGAGAUCAAGAGGAAUACUCAUUGCGAAGGCGACCUGCUGGAACAUUACUGACGCUGAUGCACGAAAGCGUGGGGAGCAAACAGGAUUAGAUACCCUGGUAGUCCACGCCCUAAACGAUGGAUGCUAGUUGUUGCCUUGCUUGUCAGGGCAGUAAUGCAGCUAACGCAUUAAGCAUCCCGCCUGGGGAGUACGGUCGCAAGAUUAAAACUCAAAGGAAUAGACGGGGACCCGCACAAGCGGUGGAGCAUGUGGUUUAAUUCGAAGAUACGCGAAGAACCUUACCUAGGCUUGACAUUGAU